CUUAGUUGAAUUUGUUGGGGUUAUGUUUCAAAAGCUUGUUCCAUCAGCAGAAUUCCAACCAAAAUACCAUAUGCUACCCUAAAAUCAGUUAGAAUAUUUCCUAGUUUUAGACGAAGUUGUUAAUAACUAAACAAAAGAAGUCCUAGGAAUUUUAUGUCGAUGGGAACAAAGCCUCAAUUGCAUGAUCUCCCCCUGGCUUGGAAGAACUUGGCUCUGUCGAGUCUAAUUUAAUUUACUACUCCUAGAGUUCUGGGUUGAUGUGCUGAUGAUCUUCAGUGGCGAUCCGUGUGCAUUCAGACCUUGGUCAACCUUUUCAUUUCACCAGACAUAAUUUGUGCUGCAAUUUUUUCAUUAAAGUUAGGGGCCACCUGAUGUAAGGUUCAGAUUAUUUGACCAAUCUAUACACGGACAUUGAUCUGGCCCUCCAAGUGUGCAUGUGACACAGGCAAGUUUCUCCUUCAUUUACACGAUGAUGAGUGCUGUUAUGUAACUUGAAUCCCAUCCCUACUGCACGUGAAACACUUUCCACUCAUUGUGACUGGAAGUAUUGAUCAGUUGGGCCAUCAUCUAGAUGGGCCAUAGGUAAAAACUAUAGUCAACUGAUAACUUCAGACCAUCCAUCCAGAUGUAAGUUUUGCCCUGUCCAAAUCGACCUAUUAGUCAGCUUUGUAUCAACGGUCCAUCUUUAUAUCUGCUGUAUGGAUAACUACACAGUCGACCCCUUUGGUUGGUGGCCCUGAUCACCACAUGUUCAACUUGGAAACUUCGAUUCUAACUGUUUAUUUUGAAAUGGGCAGCGACUGACAAAUGGUUGGAAUUGAUGAAUGAUGGUAGCCCCAACUAUAAUAUUUUCAUCUACCCUUCCAAAAAAAAAAAAAAAGAAAGAAAUUGCCCUUUUAAUAUUGGAUUACAGGUAACUUAAUGAUGGUUUCUCUCUGAUUCACCUGAUUUCAACAACAUUGUUGCAUUAGAACUCGGUGCAGGAAUAGGUAUCCCUGAAAACUAGUAUCAAUUUGAUUCCAAUGAGAUAAUCGCUACUGUAUUGCUAAAUUCUAAAAUGCAACUUCUUUGAAUCUCAAUUCUCAAAUGGCAUUAAAUUAAGUGGUAUGAUUGAAUUUUGUAUCAUUGUCUUUCAUAUUGGAAUGCAUGUGUGCCAAUGCUUGGAUGCAUUCUUGACAUGCAUAGGGCAAUCCAUCCACCACACAUCUGAUCGAUACUGAUAGUGGUGGGAAUUCUCCCAUAGCUAAUUGGAGGAUCUUUAGCCCCGAUGAGCUUUCAGACCCAAAGAAGUCUUGGCAAGCUGAGGAAGGGUUUCAGGGAUCUGCUCACAGUAAGGUACAGAAUGACUACUUAUUUGGUGUCUGACUCACAUGUGACAUUCGGGGAUAUUGGCAGUGGAUCCUUUUCUUAGAUACAUUUUUUUGGCAAUGCUUGUUAUUCAUUGGGCCGUUUAUAAUUGAGAGAGCUUGUGAUUAUCAUGCAUAUAUUUUUGUUGGCAACCAUUAUCCACCAAUGAUUCACCUGUCUUCAAUUACAUCAAUAAUUUCUCCUAUUAAAGCCAGAUAAGUCUGUGCAUAUCACGAAAAGCUUCCCAUCACUUAGUUUUGUUGCGUCCCUGCCAGCUGUGUUUUCCUCACCGCAUGUCAGUUCCCAUAAAGAAUCUAGGUUCCUCAUAAGGCAUCACUUGUCACCCAAGUUUUCUUCUGAUGACGGGGAUGAAGGCAAGACUUCUUUGGGAGUUUCAGAUGCGCUUCAUCUCCCUAGUAGCUCAGCCGACACACAGGAAAGAUGUGAUAUCAAGAGUUCUAUGGAAGAAUUCAACAUUGAAGCGCUUGAAGCUAGCUAAUAAACCACCUAGGAUUUUGCAAUAACAUUUCACCUAUAUGUUGUUUGGAUGGAAUAUUACCAUGUUUGAGUGGGCCCUUUAAAUGUUUUUUUUUUCAGAUUUCUAUUCCAAAUAGAAACUAAAAUUUCAAUUUGGAAUAUUACCACAUU
Magnolia sinica is the source of this 1995-nucleotide long non-coding RNA. RefSeq lists it as uncharacterized. Lineage: Eukaryota; Viridiplantae; Streptophyta; Magnoliopsida; Magnoliales; Magnoliaceae. The transcript is spliced from 6 exons. The record is from RefSeq and is a predicted model, not a curated record.